Molecule: antisense RNA, 75 nt
Filed under: Streptomyces sp. MP131-18
Lineage: Bacteria; Bacillati; Actinomycetota; Actinomycetes; Kitasatosporales; Streptomycetaceae
Description: ASpks TB sRNA
Rfam family: ASpks TB sRNA
Source: Rfam by way of RNAcentral
CUUCACCGAGCCCAGACUCAGCGGCUGGUCCCCGGUGCGGCCCUGGCCGUAGGUCGCGAUCAGCGCCUGCGCCUC